RNAcentral lists this ribosomal RNA (750 nucleotides) under Parmeliella nigrocincta. RNAcentral describes it as "SSU rRNA". It matches the Rfam family "Bacterial small subunit ribosomal RNA", at positions 358 to 1199 of the family's 1533-position model. Lineage: Eukaryota; Fungi; Ascomycota; Lecanoromycetes; Peltigerales; Pannariaceae. The record is from RNAcentral.
GGAAUGAAUAGCAAUAGCUAGUUGUAUUAAUAAAUAUUUUCUACGAUAUCAACUUGGUUGAAUAAAAUUCUAGAUAGGCUUAUGAUAAUGACAUUAUCUAUCUAUGUGUCUUGACUAAAUUACGUGCCAGCAGUCGCGGUAAUACGUAGAAGACUAGUGUUAUUCAUCUUUAAUAGGUUUAAAGCGUACCCAGACGGUGUAUAUAGCCUAAUAAGGUACUAUAUUAACUAGAGUUUAUAUGUAAUGGUGCAGAAAGGUACUGUUGAGUGUAGAGAUGAAAUUCUGUCAUACCAGAUAAGUGGCACAGGUUUAGGCGAAAGCAUCACUUUAUGUAACAACUGACGUUGGCGGACGAAGGCUUAAUAAACGAACAGGAUUAGGUACCCCAGUAGUCUUUGCAGACAAUGAUGAAUGUCAUAUAUUUAAUAUUGGUAUAUUGAGUGUAUAAAUGAAAGUGUAAGCAUUCCACCUCAAGAGUAAUUUGGCAACAUUGGAAUUGAAAUCAUUAGACCGUUUCUGAAACCAGUAGUGAAGUAUGUUGUUUAAUUUGAUGAUCCGCAAAAAACCUUACCACAAUUUGAAUAUUAAUUAUAAUAAUUUAUACAAGCGUUGCACGGCUGUCUUCAGUUAAUGUCGUGAGAUUUUGGUUAGUUCCAUAAAAUUAACGUAAACCCUUACUUUUUUUUUUUAAUAAAGUUGUUCACCGCUAGAUUGGCUAUGAUAACAGGGACUAAGACAAGUCAUCAUGGC